CACGCUGGAAAGCCAGACUCCAUUUCCUUUAGCAUUUGGAGAAGCACAAGAAGAAUCCAUCUUAAUCUGUGUCAAUGGUCAUCCAAGGACAAACCCACAUCCCACAAACAGAGCAUUGCUGAGGUUAUUGCUUUAUCCCAAAGGUCUCCAUGAAGUCUUUAGAAAAGAUUUACCUUGAUACCAUCAUAAGGAUACCAGGAAAGGCUUAAUAGCUGCCACACUAGCAAAAUCGAUGCUAGACUAAAUGAUACAAUGAGGAUCAUAAGUGGUUGCAUAAAAUCUACUCCUACUUGUACCACCAGCUCUACGAAGGCAGGAAGCCGAAG
This is a long non-coding RNA of Ahaetulla prasina, 326 nucleotides long. RefSeq lists it as uncharacterized. The transcript is spliced from 3 exons. NCBI's taxonomy places the organism in Eukaryota, Metazoa, Chordata, Lepidosauria, Squamata, Colubridae. The record is from RefSeq and is a predicted model, not a curated record.